GCCGGACCAGUGCACACUGUGAACAUUCACUGAAACACACCCUGUUGGCACUUAAGAAGCAUUUGCCCCUUUCGAAGACAUUUGGACUCAAGAAGGCAGAGUUGCAGAAAACGUAACAGGCCACACUGCAGGGGCAGGCAGUGGAUUGCAAGUCUCAAGCCCAGGGUUCUCCCCUCCUUGCCUGGGUUGUGGGAAAAAGUCAUUUCCUAACUCCUAUCCAAUAUCCUCAUGAGUUCUCGGUUUUGUCCCAACUCUAAAACUGAAUGGUCCAGCGAGCAUUUCUAUGAAAUGCCUCCACAGUGGCCACUGGGAGGGGAGUGUCCUCCACACAGUGACUGCCUGUCUGGAUGCUCCCAGGCCUUUUGUCCUCCGAGACAGAGCUGCCUCCUUACAUGCAGCCCUCUUCUGCUGUGCAACUCUACCUCGAUCUUAGCUGAGAAGAUCAACGGAGAGCAAUUCAAGCAAAAUCAUGGUAAACUUACCAAAACCAAACCAAACAAACAGUAAAUGCUUUGGAGAUCUUUCUGAGGACGCGAUCUUUUAUCACGGGGCAAAAACUUAAAUGAUUUUCAAUCAGUAACUUCAUCUAAGAGGGAUGUUGAGGCAAAAU
Molecule: long non-coding RNA, 610 nt
Filed under: Homo sapiens (human)
Lineage: Eukaryota; Metazoa; Chordata; Mammalia; Primates; Hominidae
Description: HSALNT0152706
Source: RNAcentral